This 774-nucleotide ribosomal RNA is filed under the name uncultured Neocallimastigales. Its description in RNAcentral is "partial large subunit ribosomal RNA". It matches the Rfam family "Eukaryotic large subunit ribosomal RNA", at positions 24 to 639 of the family's 3401-position model. The record is from RNAcentral. Lineage: Eukaryota; Fungi; Neocallimastigomycota; Neocallimastigomycetes; Neocallimastigales.
UAUGUGAUCGUCUCUCGCAUAUCAAUAAGCGGAGGAAAAGAAACUAACAAGGAUUCCCCUAGUAACGGCGAGUGAAGCGGGAAGAGCUCAAAUUUGAAAUCUUAAAGGGUUUCCCUUUACGAAUUGUAGUUUAAAGAAGUGUUUUCUGUUGAGGUUUUGGUAAAAGUUCUUUGGAAUAGGACAUCAUAGAGGGUGAGAAUCCCGUAUUUGACCUUUACUUUCAACUUUGUGAUACACUUUCAAAGAGUCGGAUUGUUUGGGAAUGCAGUCCAAAAUGGGUGGUAAAUUUCAUCUAAAGCUAAGUAUUGGCGAGAGACCGAUAGCGAACAAGUACCGUGAGGGAAAGAUGAAAAGAACUUUGAAAAGAGAGUUAAACAGUACGUGAAAUUGUCAAAAGGGAAGCGUUUGACACCAGUGUUGUUUUUCUGAAAAUCAAUUAAAGAACUGUUUAUGCUAAGCUGUUUAGACUUUAUCAGCUAACUGUUUAGUUUUGAGCUUUUCUUUAAUGCACUUUUCAGUUAACAAGUCAACAUCAAUUUCUUUUGCUGUAAAAAAGCUUGAGGAAGGUGGCUUGAGAUUCGUCUUAAGUGUUUAUAGCCUCUUGCCUAUGCAGUCGGAGAGAUUGAGGUCUGCAGCGUAGAUCCUUCGGGGCUAAAUGCAUUUGUGCUAAGUUAUAGCAUUUUAUAGACAACUUGUUGACUAUGAUUUGUCUUGUAGCUUACUCGCUUAUGUUAUUUUACCUACGCUUAGGAUGUUGACGCGCGUGUGUGCGUG